AUUGAACGCUGGCGGAAUGCUUUACACAUGCAAGUCGAACGGCAGCACGGACUUCGGUCUGGUGGCGAGUGGCGAACGGGUGAGUAAUGUAUCGGAACGUGCCCAGCCGUGGGGGAUAACGUAGUGAAAAUUACGCUAAUACCGCAUACGAUCUAUGGAUGAAAGCGGGGGAUCGCAAGACCUCGCGCGAUUGGAGCGGCCGAUAUCAGAUUAGGUAGUUGGUGGGGUAAAGGCCCACCAAGCCAACGAUCUGUAGCUGGUCUGAGAGGACGACCAGCCACACUGGAACUGAGACACGGUCCAGACUCCUACGGGAGGCAGCAGUGGGGAAUUUUGGAUAAUGGGCGAAAGCCUGAUCCAGCCAUUCCGCGUGCAGGAUGAAGGCCCUCGGGUUGUAAACUGCUUUUGUACAGAACGAAAAGGUUUCUACUAAUACUAGGAGCUCAUGACGGUACUGUAAGAAUAAGCACCGGCUAACUACGUGCCAGCAGCCGCAGUAA
Molecule: ribosomal RNA, 500 nt
Filed under: uncultured bacterium
Lineage: Bacteria
Description: partial 16S ribosomal RNA
Rfam family: Bacterial small subunit ribosomal RNA
Source: RNAcentral